AGGUUGCGGCGGCGCCCGAGCGGGUCCCCAGGCUGGCGAGCGCCCAGGCCAGACUGGCCGCUUUGUGCUUGUGCAGCGGCUUCGGGAGAAGGAGCGGCAGCUGCUGCCACAAGAGUGUCCAGUGGGCGCCCAGGCCACCUGCGGACAGUUCGCCAGCGAUGUCCAGUUUGUCCUGAGGCGCACAGGGCCCAGCCUAGCUGGGAGGCCCUCCUCAGACAGCUGUCCACCCCCAGAACGCUGCCUAAUUCGUGCCAGCCUCCCUGUAAAGCCACGGGCUGCGCUGGGCUGUGAGCCCCGCAAAACACUGACCCCCGGGCCAGCCCCCAGCCUCUCACGCCCUGGGCCUGCGGCCUCUGUGACACCCACACCAGGCUGCUGCACAGACCUGCGGGGCCUGGAGCUCAGGGUGCAGAGGAAUGCUGAGG
Molecule: small RNA, 425 nt
Filed under: Pan troglodytes (chimpanzee)
Lineage: Eukaryota; Metazoa; Chordata; Mammalia; Primates; Hominidae
Description: processed transcript
Source: RNAcentral